GACGAACGCUGGCGGCGUGCUUAACACAUGCAAGUCGAACGGAAAGGCCCUGCGUUUGUGGGGUGCUCGAGUGGCGAACGGGUGAGUAACACGCGUGUAACCUGCCCUUGUCUUUGGGAUAACUUCAGGAAACUGGGGCUAAUACCGCAUAGGAGCUCCUGCUGCAUGGUGGGGGUUGGAAAGUUUCGGCGGUUGUGGAUGGACUCGCGGCUUAUCAGCUUGUUAGUGGGGUAGUGGCUUACCAAGGCUUUGACGGGUAGCCGGCCUUGGAGGGUGAACGGCCACAUGGGGACUGAGGGACGGAGCAGAAGGGUAUGGGAGGCAGUGGGGGGGAACAUUGCGCAAUGGGGGGGAGCCUGAUGCAGCAGCGCCCCGUGCGGGAUGACCUCCUACGGGGUGUAAACAGCUGUGGCAUGUGAUGAAGAGGGAGUGACGGUACUGGGUAAAGAAGCACCGGCUAACUACGUG
RNAcentral lists this ribosomal RNA (468 nucleotides) under uncultured bacterium. RNAcentral's name for it is "partial 16S ribosomal RNA". It matches the Rfam family "Bacterial small subunit ribosomal RNA", at positions 28 to 507 of the family's 1533-position model. The record is from RNAcentral.